Micropterus salmoides (largemouth bass) is the source of this 1005-nucleotide long non-coding RNA. RefSeq lists it as uncharacterized. Lineage: Eukaryota; Metazoa; Chordata; Actinopteri; Centrarchiformes; Centrarchidae. The transcript has 3 exons. The record is from RefSeq and is a predicted model, not a curated record.
CGUUGCGUUGCGCGUGAGGUUACGCACAGUGACGCUCCUGAAUCCCUACAGGCGCGCAGAGGAGCGUCCCGGAAUUAACGGAGGAGAGAGAGAGAGGAAAAUAACGGAUCCGCUAAAUUUAACCGAUUCACGGUAAACGGUGCACCUUCCCGCCGGGGUGCAACCUCUUAGAGCGGCGGACGGAGGUCGGAGGAAGGGAUCGUUCUCACGCGGAGCCUUCAAGUCUUCCCAGAUGUGGGGUGUCUCCAUCCAUGGCCUCCUUCAGGUGACCUCCGGUGACCUCAGUCACUCCUGACUGCAGCUUUGAACUCCUGAUCCACCAGAAGACGUCUGCAGGAGCUGCUGAAUUAUUUAACAUCAGACGGUGGGCUUGGCUGCCGAGCGAGAAGGAGAGAGAGAGCUAGAGAGAACAGAGGCGGGAGGAAAAAAUGAUGGAGAGAGAAAGGGAUGUAUGGAGGUGUCCGACGCUGCAGGAAGCCGUGAGUCAGCAGGGAGAGAAAGAACCAGUGGGAGGGAAGACAGAGAGGGUUUAUAGAUAACUUUAGGUGAUACGUCUGCGGAGAGUGGCGUCAGAAAGCCUCCAGGUGCGUUUGUGUACGUGCGUGUGCAUGCGCCUAUCGAUUGAACAGAGAAGGUCACAGAGCCGAAAGGAGAUUAGCCAAGUAGACUCAGAGACGCAGAGCUAACGCCUCCCCUGGACAGUAGCUAGACAGAAAACGGAAAGCCAAUAAAAGAGAGAGAGAGAGACAGACAAGGCGAAGGACGAGAGGAGCUGCUACAGUAUGGGGGAGAGCUACAUGUACCAGAAACUCCCCUACACCAGAGGAGAGGAGGAGGGGGAGGAUGAGGACGAAGAGGAGCGAGACGGGAGGAUCAGAGAAAGUGUCGGGGGACAAAUGGUAAAGUCUGAAGUUGUGGGUGGACAUGCAAUUCUUCUUGUCGCUCUGUAAUCAGGGUGUGUGUGUUUGUUGUCAGGAAUGUUUUUUUGUGAUUGUGUGUGUGAUU